UACGUAGGGGGCAAGCGUUGUCCGGAUUUAUUGGGCGUAAAGAGCGUGUAGGCGGCCAGGUAGGUCCGCUGUGAAAACUCGAGGCUCAACCUCGAGAGGUCGGUGGAAACCGUCUGGCUAGAGUCCGGAAGAGGAGAGUGGAAUUCCCGGUGUAGCGGUGAAAUGCGCAGAUAUCGGGAAGAACACCCGUGGCGAAGGCGGCUCUCUGGGACGGUACUGACGCUGAGACGCGAAAGCGUGGGGAGCGAACAGG
Molecule: ribosomal RNA, 253 nt
Filed under: uncultured bacterium
Lineage: Bacteria
Description: partial 16S ribosomal RNA
Rfam family: Bacterial small subunit ribosomal RNA
Source: RNAcentral